Molecule: long non-coding RNA, 1938 nt
Filed under: Marmota monax (woodchuck)
Lineage: Eukaryota; Metazoa; Chordata; Mammalia; Rodentia; Sciuridae
Source: RNAcentral
CAAACUUCUCCUGAAAGGUAUUUUAUAAUAGUAUUACUGGAUCCCAUUCCCUGGUUUCUGAUCCAGACUCUAUUAGAAUUUGCAUUUUUAACAUGUUUCUGGUUUUUGCACCUAACUCAGAAACCACAUUUGUAGAAUCACUGCCCUAGGGAAUCUGGUAUUGUGUGUGUGUGUGUGUGUGUGUGUGUAUGUGAUUUGAUACAAAAGCUUAUACUUUGCAUUUUUGAGAGAUAAAAGAUGUCUUUGUUUGCAACCCAAGUGUUAGAUUUUAAAAUUGGUUACCAAGCCAAGAAAAUGUGAUUAGCACUUCUACAGGUGUAAUGCUCUUUUAGACAAUCAUGAUGGAGUGCUUAGUAUCAAAACAAGGUUCAUUUGAAAGUUGGUAGAAUGCUUUUUGACCUACAACCAUUUUCCUACAGGCAGCCUUUUGGUCCUAUGUUACAGGUCCUGACCACAUGUCUCCUUGAUUCACAUACACUCUUCCUUAGGAAUCAUCCUCAGCAUGCCAUGCCCAGGAAAUAUUAUGGUUUGGCAAAAUUUUUGAAAAGCCUCCCUUCCUUCCAGUGCCUUCAAAGCACAUUGGCAUAACAAUUAUCUUCAUAGGCAUUGUGCACUGUUAUUUUAAUUCCAUAUCCUUUGAGAUUCUUCAGAUUAAAGCUACUUCUUAUUCCUACCUUCAUAAAUGUUAGUCAGAUAGAUUGCAGAACAUUUGAUCUUCAGAGGGCCUUGGAAGAGAAAAGGUAGCCUAAGAUGAGAAAAUGCACUUCCUUUUUGAUGAGUGGAACACAGUUGGUUGGCUUAGACAUUUUGGUUAAUAUUUACCAAUGUGGGAGUUUAGCACAACCUCAGAGCUUCAGCACUGCUAUUUUUCAGUUUCUGUUCCUUAGAAGGCUUCAUAGGGCAAGCCUGAUCCCCGGGUGAGCUUGUCGCCUCACUGUAACAUAUCUGCACGACAGGUCAGACAUUGUGAAGUUUCUUCUUUUCCUUUUACUUCUAUUAAGCUACCACCCUUGUCAUUUAUUGUACCAUGUCUGGCUCUUGUGUAUUUGCAUGUUGGAGGCUUACUGGCCUAGCCCUUUGCGCAGAGUAUCCUUCACAAAUUUAAAUUUACAAAUUUUUAGUUGCUUUUUAUCCCUUAGCUUGUGAUUUAAACAAUCAAAUCAUAAGACCAAAACAAAUCAAAGAAAACAGGCUGAGCAAUGGCAAAGAGAAAGAUUAAUAUUACAAUUAGCAGGCAGAAAAGAAGAAAGACAUUUUACAAAAGAAAAUUUAUUUAGAACAGGUUGUACCUCAUAAGAAACUAUCACUCAUAUGCCUAGAACUAGUAAAGCUAUUCUCAGCUGUUUUCUAUUAAAAAGAUUUAAGAAAGAGACUCCAACAAACAAACAACAACAACAAAACUGUGCCAAGUACCUACUAUGGGACAAAGCUUCUUACAUUUUAGGUUCUGUAGAAGAUAUAGAUCACAGAUAUAUUAUGAACAAAUAGAAUUUUAGCUUCUGGCCAGCCUCUCAAUUCUUGUACGCCCCAGGACAUGGUAAUAAAAAAUUACAAAGUUGUGGUGAAGAUUGUUCUGUUUUUUUUUCUUUUAAUAAUUUGUAAUUAAGGAGAUUUCUCUGUAUAGUACAGUCUGUUCAUCCAGUAACUUACAUGUGUCCAAAGUGUCAUGGCAUCCUUGGGCAUCCUAUUAGUGAGUAGUAAUUAGAACUAGAUGAAUCCCAUUUAACAUACUGGUUUGAUGUCAAGCCCACACCCUUGUUCUCUAAAUUCGGAGAAUAAUUAAAUUGGUAUAAGAAAUUCUCUUGAAGUAUUUUCUAUUUGGACUUGAUAUUUUGGUGCUUUGGUUCUUUUGAUGUUUAGCAUCCAAUACUGGAGAGUAAAUAAAAAGGGUAGCUCUUUUGAGAACAUUAUAUGAACUCAGUAAUUCAUAAAGCAGAC